GACGAAGGAUGCAAGCGUUAUCCGGAUUCAUUGGGUUUAAAGGGCGCGUAGGUGGUCUUAUAAGUCAGUGGUGAAAUCUCGCAGCUUAACUGCGAAACUGCCAUUGAUACUGUAGGACUUGAGUAUAGUUGCUGUGGGCGGAAUAUGACAUGUAGUGGUGAAAUACUUAGAGAUGUCAUAGAACACCGAUUGCGAAGGCAGCUCACAAAACUAUAACUGACACUGAGGCGCGAAAGUGCGGGGAGCAAACAGG
RNAcentral lists this ribosomal RNA (253 nucleotides) under uncultured bacterium. RNAcentral describes it as "partial 16S ribosomal RNA". It matches the Rfam family "Bacterial small subunit ribosomal RNA", at positions 524 to 776 of the family's 1533-position model. The record is from RNAcentral.